This 468-nucleotide ribosomal RNA is filed under the name uncultured bacterium. RNAcentral describes it as "partial 16S ribosomal RNA". It matches the Rfam family "Bacterial small subunit ribosomal RNA", at positions 28 to 507 of the family's 1533-position model. The record is from RNAcentral.
GACGAACGCUGGCGGCGUGCUUAACACAUGCAAGUCGAACGGAAAGGCCCUGCUUUUGUGGGGUGCUCGAGUGGCGAACGGGUGAGUAACACGUGAGUAACCUGCCCUUGACUUUGGGAUAACUUCAGGAAACUGGGGCUAAUACCGGAUAGGAGCUCCUGCUGCAUGGUGGGGGUUGGAAAGUUUCGGCGGUUUGGGAUGGACUCGCGGCUUAUCAGCUGGUUGGUGGGGUAGUGGCUUACCCAGGCUUUGACGGGUAGCCGGCCUGAGAGGGUGACCGGCCACAUUGGGACUGCGAUACGGCGCAGACUCCUACGGUAGGCAGCAGUGGGGAAUAUUACACAAUGGGCGGAAGCCUGAUGCAGCAACGCCGCGAUCGUGAUGACGGCCUUCGGGUUGUAAACCGCUUUCGCUUGUUACGAAGCGUGAGUGACGGUAAUGGGUAAAGAAGCACCGGCUAACUACGUG